This 182-nucleotide ribosomal RNA is filed under the name Exophiala pisciphila. RNAcentral's name for it is "partial large subunit ribosomal RNA". It matches the Rfam family "Eukaryotic large subunit ribosomal RNA", at positions 82 to 261 of the family's 3401-position model. Lineage: Eukaryota; Fungi; Ascomycota; Eurotiomycetes; Chaetothyriales; Herpotrichiellaceae. The record is from RNAcentral.
AGUAACGGCGAGUGAAGCGGCAACAGCUCAAAUUUGAAAUCUGGCCUCUUUGGGGUCCGAGUUGUAAUUUGUAGAGGAUGUUUCGGGUACCGCCUCGGUUUAAAUUUCUUGGAACAGAAUGUCAAAGAGGGUGAGAAUCCCGUCUUGGACCGGCGGUAGGGCCCAUGUGAAACUCCUUCGAC